Molecule: ribosomal RNA, 293 nt
Filed under: uncultured bacterium
Lineage: Bacteria
Description: partial 16S ribosomal RNA
Rfam family: Archaeal small subunit ribosomal RNA
Source: RNAcentral
GUGCCAGCCGCCGCGGUAAUACCGGCAGCCCGAGUGAUGGCCGCUGUUAUUGGGCCUAAAGCGUCCGUAGCUGGCCGCACAAGUCCGUCGGGAAAUCCGCCCGCUCAACGGGCGGCCGUCCGGCGGAACCUGUGUGGCUUGGGACCGGGAGGCCUGAGGGGUACGAUCGGGGUAGGAGUGAAAUCCUGUAAUCCCGCUCGGACCGCCGAUGGCGAAAGCACGUCGCGAAGACGGAUCCGACAGUGAGGGACGAAAGCUAGGGUCUCGAACCGGAUUAGAAACCCGAGUAGUCC